Molecule: ribosomal RNA, 477 nt
Filed under: uncultured bacterium
Lineage: Bacteria
Description: partial 16S ribosomal RNA
Rfam family: Bacterial small subunit ribosomal RNA
Source: RNAcentral
AUUGAACGCUGGCGGCAUGCCUUACACAUGCAAGUCGAACGGUAACAGGUUAAGCUUACGAGUGGCGAACUGGUGAGUAAUGUAUCGGAACGUGCCCAGUCGUGUGGGAUAACUGCUCGAAAGAGCAGCUAAUACCGCAUACGACCUGAGGGUGAAAGCGGGGGAUCGCAAGACCUCGCGCGAUUGGAGCUUCCGAUAUCAGAUUAGGUAGUUGGUGAGGUAAAGGCUCACCAAGCCGACGAUCUGUAGCUGGUCUGAGAGGACGACCAGCCACACUGGGACUGAGACACGGCCCAGACUCCUACGGGAGGCAGCAGUGGGGAAUUUUGGACAAUGGGCGCAAGCCUGAUCCAGCCAUGCCGCGUGCGGGAAGAAGGCCUUCGGGUUGUAAACCGCUUUUGUCAGGGAAGAAAAGGUUCUGGCUAAUACCUGGGACUCAUGACGGUACCUGAAGAAUAAGCACCGGCUAACUACGUG